This 427-nucleotide ribosomal RNA is filed under the name uncultured bacterium. RNAcentral describes it as "bacterial SSU rRNA". It matches the Rfam family "Bacterial small subunit ribosomal RNA", at positions 355 to 774 of the family's 1533-position model. The record is from RNAcentral.
UAGGGAAUUUUCGGCAAUGGGCGAAAGCCUGACCGAGCAAUGCCGCGUGAAUGAUGAAAUUCUUCGGAAUGUAAAAUUCUGUUAUUAGGGAAGAAAGAUAUGCUUAGGAAAUGAGGUGUAUUUCACGGUACUUAAUGAGAAAGCCCCGGCUAACUAUGUGCCAGCAGCCGCGGUAAUACGGGGGGUGCAAGCGUUGUCCGGAAUCAUUGGGCGUAAAGCGUUCGUAGGCGGUAUGUCAAGUCUGGUGUUAAAGCCCGAGGCUCAACCUCGGUUCGGCAUUGGAUACUGGCAAACUAGAAUGUGGUAGAGGUAAAGGGAAUUCCUGGUGUAGCGGUGAAAUGCGUAGAUAUCAGGAGGAACAUCGGUGGCGAAAGCGCUUUACUGGACCAUUAUUGACGCUGAGGAACGAAAGCCAGGGGAGCAAAUG